CUGAAAUGGUGCUGAGUCCGGUUCUCAUUAGAACAUGUCUGAUCUGAUUUUAACCUUCUGUCUUUCUUUACCUUCUAGUUUUAACAUUAUGUCAUUAUUUUAGCUUAUUGUUACACGUGUGUUGCUGCUCUUAAAAACAACAAUAAAUAUAUUUGCUGUUUCUUUAUAUUUCACAGCCUCCCAGCAGCUGUGUGUCUGACACUGGGACCAUGAUGGGAAUUCCACCCAGAGCAGCUUCUACACUCCUGAACAGACCCAGCCUGGCAGGUCAUCACUGCAGAGGAGAAUCUUCCCAGACUCACACCAACAUCCCAUUUUACCUCAGGGCCUCCUGAUCUAACAGAAAGACCUGUAGCUCCAUCCUCGCUCCGUUCUCCACAUGUUUGUCAUCAUCUCUGGAAGCUACCUCCCACAACACUGUGAUGUUAUAUAUAAUUUUGUUUUCAGGCUAAGUGAACCCAAGUAAUCUGCUGUCAGACUGUGUAGUAAAGCUUAUUGCUACACGUGUUUUGCUGCUGCGAGCUUGGAGCUAGAUUACAUCAUGAGAUCAUGAAGGAGACUACUGAUUCUGGCCCUGUGACACUUGGUGGUGACAUGUGAGCUGAUUAACCUGGACACUCAGCAAAAUAUGGACCUUACAUCAUGAGGCAGGCACACGUUAAUACUCUAUAAGAGCACAUAAGCAUGAGGAUGUCCUCACACACCUGUAACCUAUCAGCUCAUCUGGCAGAAUAGAGAGAGAGAAGAGACAACACCACAUCUCCUGUUCCUGGAAAGCCUUCAGCCAUCCUUCGAUGACUGAGAACCUCCAUCAGCUCUGUCUCCUGUCUGCCUACAAUUAUAAUAAAUAUUGUGUUUGACAAGUUUUUUGUGCUGCCAAAUAUCUCAUUUUCAUUCCAGUUUUGAUAUUUUAAUGGAUAUUUAUAAAUGACAUUAAUUGAAUUAUC
Non-coding RNA from Nothobranchius furzeri (turquoise killifish), 947 nucleotides. NCBI's taxonomy places the organism in Eukaryota, Metazoa, Chordata, Actinopteri, Cyprinodontiformes, Nothobranchiidae. The record is from RefSeq and is a predicted model, not a curated record.